Molecule: ribosomal RNA, 506 nt
Filed under: uncultured bacterium
Lineage: Bacteria
Description: bacterial SSU rRNA
Rfam family: Bacterial small subunit ribosomal RNA
Source: RNAcentral
GAUCAUGGCUCAGGAUGAACGCUAGCUACAGGCUUAACACAUGCAAGUCGAGGGGAAACGAUAUUGGAAGCUUGCUUCCGAUAGGCGUCGACCGGCGCACGGGUGAGUAACGCGUAUCCAACCUGCCCACCACUUGGGGAUAACCUUGCGAAAGUAAGACUAAUACCCAAUGAUAUCUCUAGAAGACAUCUGAAAGGGAUUAAAGAUUUAUCGGUGAUGGAUGGGGAUGCGUCUGAUUAGCUUGUUGGCGGGGUAACGGCCCACCAAGGCAACGAUCAGUAGGGGGUUCUGAGAGGAAGGUCCCCCACAUUGGAACUGAGACACGGUCCAAACUCCUACGGGAGGCAGCAGUGAGGAAUAUUGGUCAAUGGGCGAGAGCCUGAACCAGCCAAGUAGCGUGCAGGACGACGGCCCUAUGGGUUGUAAACUGCUUUUAUAAGGGAAUAAAGUGAGUCUCGUGAGACUUUUUGCAUGUACCUUAUGAAUAAGGACCGGCUAAUUCCGUG